UGGGGGGUAUUGCACAAUGGGCGGAAGCCUGAUGCAGCGACGUCGCGUGAGGGAUGGGGGCCUUCGGGUUGUGAACCUCUGUUUCCGGUGGUGAAGGCCCCGCCCUUGGUGGUGGGGUUGACGGUAGCCGGGUAUGAAGCGCCGGCUAACUACGUGCCAGCAGCCGCGGUAAUACGUAGGGCGCGAGCGUUGUCCGGAAUUAUUGGGCGUAAAGGGCUUGUAGGCGGCCGGCCGCGUCCGUCGUGAAAUCCUCCGGCUCAACCGGGGGCUUGCGGUGGGUACGGGUCGGCUGGAGUGCGGCAGGGGAGGCUGGAACUCCUGGUGUAGCGGUGGAAUGCGCAGAUAUCAGGAGGAACACCGGUGGCGAAGGCGGGUCUCUGGGCCGUUACUGACGCUGAGGAGCGAAAGCGUGGGGAGCGAACAGGAUUAGAUACCCUGGUAGUCCACGCCGUNNCGUUGGGCACUAGGUGUGGGGCGUUCCCGUUCGCGGGGGCUCCGCGCCGUANCUAACGCAUUAANUGCCCCGCCUGGGGAGUACGGCCGCAAGGCUA
This 551-nucleotide ribosomal RNA is filed under the name uncultured bacterium. Its description in RNAcentral is "bacterial SSU rRNA". It matches the Rfam family "Bacterial small subunit ribosomal RNA", at positions 355 to 896 of the family's 1533-position model. The record is from RNAcentral.